GCAUUUUCGAGCCAAAAGUGUGAAACGGUUUGCGUUGGAAAAUGCGACAAAACAAAUAGUUAGAGCGGUUCCGGCGAUUCUGUUAAAAUAGAAACCGCUCUAGCGCG
This 107-nucleotide unclassified non-coding RNA is filed under the name Brucella sp. 191011898. RNAcentral describes it as "BASRCI153". Lineage: Bacteria; Pseudomonadati; Pseudomonadota; Alphaproteobacteria; Hyphomicrobiales; Brucellaceae. The record is from RNAcentral.